UAACCAAAAAAAAUAUCUUUAAUUAUUUGUUCACAAAUGUAACGUUCAAUACUUUAUUCAUUUAAGUUCGUUACAAUAUCCAUCACGUUCGAAUUAUGAAAAGAUACGAGCAAAUCAGUAUAACAAAUAGAGGUAAAAAAAUUUCACUAGCAGCCAAUCAGUAUAAUAAACAGUAGUCAGAAAAGGACAGAGCAAGCACAACUCCAUUUCUUCCACACUUCCUCGCCCAAUCUUCGCAGCCAUAGCACUCUAACUAGCUAACAAAUCCAACACCCUCUCCCCAAAAACUUCAAGAAAAGCUAAUGAUCUCUUGCGUGUUAUCAAUGAACCAUACUCUAUAGAGUUGCAUAUCUGCAAAAUUUUUCCAAAUUAUUCUCAAAUUAAAUCACCCCACGUUCUCAGAGAACUCAUAGAGUCACAUCCUACUCCCUUGUAGGAUCAAAUUAAGGGAUUCAACUCAGAGCAAAGAAGUUCGAGAAUCAAAGUUACAAAUCAAGAACAAAUCAAUCAAAGCAUAUAAUCAAGAACCAUAAAAAAGAUUAGCGGAAAAGGCAUUAAUCAAAUAAAAUCAAGACAAUAAAUAAAUAAAUAUAUAGAAACUCACCAGAUUAAAGAGUGCCCAAGAUGCAAAUUGAGAAAAGGUGGGUUUUCAAGUUGAAAGUCAAUGCAUAUAUAUCAUCAUAUCUCACCAUGGACGUCUAUUCUCAAUGACCAAGAGUUGCAGCAGUUUUGCCAAAUGUGAGAAUUUAAUUCUAUGAAAAAAUCACCGCUGAACAGGGAUUACACGACAAUUACCCAUAAGUUCGAUUUGAAUCCAUAAAUUCAAUCAAUUACGAACCACCUACGAAUGUACCUUGAACUACAAAGUCUGUGCUUCGAACUUGAUGCAUAUCAGUAGUCAUAAUUAAGUGCAAAAGCAAACUGGGGCCUUACUAGAGAUAAAAGCGUGGGGCUCAAAUUAUAUUACACAACCCAAAAAUGGUUGAAUGUUCCGAAAAUCGACAAUCAAGCCCUAAUAACUCUCAUGAUCAAUUUUUAAUCCAGAAAAAUCAAAAUUCAAUUAACCAAUGCAGGCUAACCCAAAAACGUAUGACAAAUACUAAAACCCGAAAAUUUGGCCUCAGAAAACAAUAGUACUUGAAAACCAUAAAGCUAAUUUAGAUUACAAACCUGUUCGGAAUGGAGAAAUCGUCGACAUUCAUCAAGAAAAGUAAAAAUAAAAAACCACAUAUAAACAAGAUGAAACCACAAAAAAACUAAAUGAAUCGUACAAAAAAUUACCUUCUUCAGGCUGCAGCUACGAUUUUCAUCUAUCGAACCAGUACAUGUUUUCGAGCAGGAACAUAAUAGGAAUAAUGAAGAUAAUUAGUUGUAUAUAUGAGUUAAUGUUUGAAAGAAAAUCAAGAAGACAACAAAUUUAACGAAAAAUACAAAGCCAUGAGAUGCAUGUAUCAAAUCAAUAUACAUUCGAUUAAACAAAGAUGAAAAACCACUUAAUUACAACACAUUCGAAAUAAAAAAGAACCAAAAUUAUGUUCACCCAUAAAUCCGGUACCAACUCACCGGCGAUGUAAACGCAAAAUUAAGACUCUGUUAAAUCGUCGCCACCGUCUUCUCUUCCGCGAACAGGUUCGUAUGAAAACUAGGUUACAAACGGAAAAUUUGUGAAUACGGCCUCCCAUUGAAUACCUCCCUCGUUCCUGCAAUCCAUUGAAAACUAGGAUUAAUUGCUGUUUCAAUACACUAAAAAAUAAGAAAAAUAAUUACUCCCUCGUCUAUAUUGAUCCAUGGCUUAAUUCGUUGAAGAUGAGAAGAUAGUGAAAUCAAAAAAGUCGUAUAGCAAUUUGAGCAAUAGCGAAUAAGAAAUUCGUUGAAAUCUCAAUAUUAUCGGCAUCAAUAAGGUCUGGCAGAAAAUCAGGGAUUCGAUGCUAGUUACCAUAAACUGAACGAACAGAAAUUGACAACUACACCCUUUUCGAAUUAAUAAAUAAUUUCCAGCAGAAUUUUAAUUACUCAAAUCCAACUAAGCUAUUA
RNAcentral lists this long non-coding RNA (2034 nucleotides) under Salvia miltiorrhiza (redroot sage). RNAcentral describes it as "long non-coding RNA (SMIL_LNC008262)". Lineage: Eukaryota; Viridiplantae; Streptophyta; Magnoliopsida; Lamiales; Lamiaceae. The record is from RNAcentral.